GGAUCACUGAGUUUAAUUCUUUAGCACACAAAGUUCUACAGUUCCACUACUGGGAGUGUCCACUUCUUCGGAGUUCAGCAAGAUUUUGACCUUGUACAACUGGAAAGAACUGGGAAAUUUACUCUUAAAUCUUCAAUUAUGAACAACCCUCUGUAGGUGCAUAGGAUACACAAUGGAUAAAAGGGAAAAGACAUUCAUUUCACUUUAGAGAGAGAGAAAAGAUGUUCUUCAAGUGGAUUGUGCACUUAGCAGUUUGGUUCUUGGUGCAGGCAGUAACAGAAAAAUGCCAGAAAGGAAAUAUGUCUUCAAACACUGCUUCUCAAGUCUCGUACGGAUCUAAUAUCACCCUCUCAUGCCGGCUAACACAACACGAGCGAUGCAACAAGAUAGCCAUAUUCCAUAAUGGCUCUGACAUAAAAAGCAUUCAUGGCACUGAAAUAAGCACUGACAUUUCAGUUCUUGACUAUGGCAGACUUGUGUUUACUUGCAAAUUGUUAUGCGACUACACAAAAAAGCUCAUUUGUGGAAUCGAUAUAGAAUCUGGAAAUCCUCCAGAUCAGCCAACAAAUGUAUCCUGUAUUCAGUUUGGAGAAGAUGGCAAUCCAACUUGUAGAUGGGAUAAAGGAAGAUUUACCCACAUAAACACUACAUACAUGCUGCAGCUGUCAAAUGGAACAGAUAUCUUCAGUUUUUUAGAAGAGAAUGUGAAUAAUAAAUAUGGCUUACUGGAUCUGAGAAAAAAGCUGAAUUUUGAAUCCAGUUACACAGCUGUGGUUGCUGCUUCAAAUGGACUGGGAAGUGCUUUUUCACAGCCACUCACAUUCAUGUUAAUAGACAUAGUGAAACCUCGCUCCCCAACAGAUGUUACAGUGAAAUUUGACAAUAAUUCUGCAACAAAUUGCACCAUUUUGUGGCAGGAUCAACAAGCAACACAACGCUUUAGACUGAGAUAUCGACCAAUUACCAGCCAGCAGUGGACUACGGUUAACUGGUUAAGUACUAGAAGAUACAGCCUGCAUGAUCAGAAGCCACAUACAGAGUAUGAAUUUCAGGUUAGCUGCAGGUUUCAUCCCAGCCGUGGAAUAUGGAGUGACUGGAGUACAUUUCAAACACGGACUCCGGAAGCUGUGCCAGUUGGGCUGUUAGAUGUGUGGUACGUAAUGCAGGAUAUAGAUUCCCAAAGACAAACUGUUACUCUCUUUUGGAAGGCUUUAAGUGAAUCAAAAGCAAGAGGAAAGAUCCUGCAUUACAGUGUGACCUUUCAAGAAGAAAGCCACAGAAGUCCUAAAGCAGCAGAAGUGAACACUACCACGCAAACUCACUAUGCUAAGGUUAUCCCCACGAUGAACUAUAACAUAACGGUCUGUGCUCAUAACUCAAAAGGAACCUCUCCUCCUACAUCCAUUAGUACUCAUCUGAAUGUUUUAGAUUUACCUCCUCCUCGGAGCGUCUUUGCUACAUCAAAGGGGAACAACAGCAUCUUUGUCACUUGGGAGCCUCCCAGUAAUCCUUCAUCAUUCAUCAAUGGAUACAUAGUGGAAUGGGUAAGAAGACAGAGAAAUACCAGCUCCAGACACCAUCUAAACUGGAUAAAGCUUCUGGCAUCCGACUUGUCUACAGUCAUUUCAGAGAACAUAAAGCAUCGUGCAUGCUAUCACAUCAAUGUAUUUGCACUUUAUAACAAUAGAGCUGGACAAGUGGCUUCAACCAGGGGAUACUCAAGACAGGAAGCACCAGCAGCUGGACCCCAGGUUUACGCAACAGCAGAGGCAGACGGCGCUCGGGUUUCAUGGGAUGAAAUCCCCGACCAUCAGCAAAUGGGCUGCAUCACCAGUUACAACAUAUACUUGCGGAACAAAAACGCAGAGGUGGCCCCUAAGAUCUACAGCAUUCGUCAAGAGAGUUCCAGAAAUUCAUUUUAUAUCAAAAAUUUACAACAAGGUGUGGACUAUACCUUGUGGAUGACAGCUUCAACACUGGCUGGAGAAGGUCCUAAAGGAAAUGAACAACCGGUUUACCUGGAAAGUGCUUCAGAAUGGACUUUUAUUUUGUCCGUUUGUAUCUUCAUUGUCAUCUCCGUCUGCAUGUGCUCUGCGCCGUGUAUUAAGAAAGCGUUAUGCUCCCUCUUUUCCAUCUUUGUACCUCAGUGGUACAGCAAAGCCAUUCCAGAUCCAGCUAACUCUUCAUGGGCUAAGAAAUUCACAUCUGCGAACGAUGAACUAAGUUUGUAUCCCAAACCAUUCCUAAGCAAUUUGAGCAGUUUCGAGGAGCCUGAAACUAUAGAAGUAGAGGAGGUCUUUAUAAAAAGAGACUCUCUGGCUUUCGAGGACCAGCUCAUCUUCAACGUUAAAAGCAAUGGAAGUCAGGAUUGGCAAAUUGGUAGCUUUGAGAAGCAGGACUCUGCUGAAAAGAACUCUGAAUGCAAACCUUUGGCAACAAGCAUAGCAGAUGAUGGAGACAACUAUGGGUGUCAGCUUCCCUACUUGUACAAGAAACUAAUUGCAGAAGAAACAGAACAGAUUCAAACUAUUUCUGAUUAUCUUCCAAAUCCACUUAUGGACACAACAGUGAAUUAUUUGCCUUCAAAUGUAUUAGUGUCCACAGUAGAAGAUAAUGAAGAUAACAGUGAACUUGAAUACAAUUCAAUCUCUGUUUUCCCAACCACCUCUAUUCUGACACCAGUGUUUUCUUGUGGAGGAAACCUUACAUUGGAUGCAAUAAAAGUGGACUGCAAUUCUUUCAAAGGGUAAGCUGGCAAAGCAUCUCUAAGAUUCUGGCCUCAUUUUGUGCACUUUAGUCAGAUCCACAAAUACCGUAAUGUUAUUUUUAGAGUUAAUUAUGUAACUUAAGUGUAGAGGUGCUAAAUCCAAAAACAUCAACAAACUCUGGACUUCUUCAGAAUUGCUUUAACACCUUGGUUUGCAACGCUGUUUUGAAGUCUUACAAGAACCUACUCUUCAAGAGCAGUGAUGUGUUCCUACAGAUCAGAAGCUGAGUGCGCCUUACUUUAAGGUUAAAUAUUUGUAAGAAAGAACGACACAAACUUCAAAAAACCCAACAAGAUGGUUUUAUUCAAGCAUUACCAGUCCAAGAAACAGAGUGAAGUUUACAUUAAAUAUUUACAUUUAGCAUUAAUAUUGAUUUUAUACUCCUUUGUUCUUGUAUAUAAUUUGUGAGAUGGUCUGUCACUAGAUUGUGGCCUUCCAGUUCUGGGCAAUCUUUGGAAAAAUCCACGGUACUAUAUUGCAGUUCUCUGUCUUUCUGCAGGCAGUGGAUUUGAGUAACUUUCCUCUGGAGAAACAUUUGUAGGUGCAGUUUCCAACAGAGCAUCCAUAAAUGUAGUUCUAGAAUUGGUUUUAUUUUAGACUUUGGAUACUUGUGGUUUCAUGUCUCUAAGUUUUGUCACCACCAAAAAUAUAUCACAAGCUACUGUGUAAUUUAAAUACUCUUGUCCCAUGUUCUAUGCCCGUACUACUUGUUUAGAUAUAUUCCUUUAGCGUUAUUUUUGUACAGUUGAUAAUAUAGCAAAAUAGGUAGAAUCAUGCAAGAAUACAGCUGGAAGGGAUUUCAGAUGGUUCAGGGCAGCAUCUGCCCCAUCUAAACCACUCCACAUAGGAGUUGUACUUAAAAUGCUUACAGCAGCACAGUCCCAAGAUAGUUUGUUCUAGUGCUUCAACAACCCCAUAGAUAGUUCUACCUAAUAUCCAACCUACAUUUUCCUCGUUACAAUUUAAGAAUAUUACCUCUUGCCCUGCCUCCUGUAUAGAGUAUGUAAUACAAAAUAGCUUGUUACAAAGUGGAUAGUAAUGUAUUUGAAGAUUUAUCAGAUCUCCCAUCCUUUCCUUCUCCAGAUUGAAGUGCCAGGUCUUUCACCUUUCCUUGUAUGUCAUGUUUACUAGACCUCUAAUAAUUUUUGUUGCUCUCCUUAAAGAACGUAAUAAAUGCCACAUCAUGUCAUACCACAAGUCCAUCUAUCCCAAUAGCCUGUACCUCAGUGGCAAAGAAUGGAUCCCUAAGGGAAAAAGAUAUUUAUGCAGGACCUAGACAAACUAAUCUCUACUCUGCCCCUCUUCUCCUACAGCUUCCAGGGGUCUAUAGAGUCCUAAGCUGGAAGUUACACCAUUAUCAGAUUUAAUACCCUUUGGUGGACAUUUCCUGCAUGAAUUUGGCCAAUCCCUUUUUAAAACAAGUUAAAUUAUCAGCCUUUCCAAAACCUUGUGCCAAUGAGUUCCACGAGUUAAUCCUACCCUGCAUGAAAAGAAAAAAAAACGCAUUUCCUUUUGCUUAUUUUAAAUCUGCUAAGAGUCCUCUGGACUCCUUCCAGGUUGACAAACAUUGUUUUUCCAAUGAUUCCUUCAGCCAAUGCAAGGCCUCGCGGGGAAAAGCAGAAAGCUUGGCAUAAAAUCUUUCUGGACCACUGUAUAGCAGCAGCAUGUGGGAGGGGGAAUUCAGACCUUCCUCUUUGGAUCAGCCCUCUCAGCAGAAAUAGGGGCCAUAGAAACACUUCCCAUACAGUAAAUGUCCCCAUGGGGCAGAGGGGGAGGCAGAGAAGUGAGCAGAAAGCAGCAGGGGAGUGAGUGCUAAUUAAAAUCUAGUUAAAUUCAUUGCCCUGGAGGGAUUUGUAGUGAUGCCUAAAAAAAAAAAAAUUUAAAAAUUCCUAAUUACCAGUAAUUAACCACUUUCAACUUUGAGAGUACUUUGUGCACCAUGAAGGCAGGAUAGUGUGAUUUCUGAUCUUUGUAAUGAAGGAAUAUUACAGAUUCAUAGAUUGUAAGGCCAGAAGGGACCUUGGAAGAUCAUUAGGUCCAGCCCCCUGCACCAAACAGGAAAGAUAACGGGGGUUAUCCUCCGAUUCCUGUUCAGAGCUGUGUGCUGACUUAUUUGAGAACUGCAUGAUUAUAUUGAUGCCUCAUGCUGUUUCCCCACUACAAAACUAAAGGGUGCUCACUGUAUAUGAGGACUACAUGCUUAUAAAGGAAGUAAAAUAACCACAGAUCUUUGCUUUGCCCUGUACAUCCAUUCAUUCAUCUCCAAAAUAGAUUUCUGUAAAAUGGAAGUCUGUUAGUCAGUCACCUGUGCCUUGUUGAACCAAAACCAGCUGAAGAGUAUCCAAAUCUUUGCAAGCUUCAGCCAGUCUUGACAGGUUAUGAAAGACUUAAUCCCUUUAAAUGUUACUAGUUUAUCAGGAGCAAGUUCCAUUGCAAUAAAAGUUGCAUAUUCAGAAUCUACUAAUUGCACUUUUAACAGCUGAGGAAACAGCCAAAAUACUGCAUGCAAAUCACUGGGACUUUGAAGGAUUCAUGGUGACUAAUAACAGCAUAGGGAAGUUAUUUCAGGGACUAAUUAACCAGAUUUCACCAUAAUAGGAGCAGUGGCUGGACAUGAGCCAAGCACAAUCAAUCCAAAGGCUCAGGUUUGAGGUCAGAGCUUUUACCUUGGGUCUUCCGUUAGAAUACCAAGGCCAGUUUAAGGAGUACUCAAGCUGCACGUUCAGAUGAGGCUGGACCAGGCCAGAGCAACAGUGCAAACACCACCAUAGAAUUUGCUUCUGAUAGGUCAGUAACUUUUAAAGGCGACUAAAAGACAAGUUGAUUUUAAAUCAGUUGAAAGAGGAAUGGGCUGUUGAACAGCAAGGUGGCAUACUGGUUUAGCGUGAUACAGUCACAUACAGGGAGCUGAGGGAAGGGCAGCCUGUAUGUCUGCAGCAGGCUUAUACAAUUCACUAGGCAGAAAGUGAUAGGAAAAUAAUGUUAUAAAAGAGCAAGGAGAUGGUUGCCAGGAGCGAGGCAGGACACAGCAGAAUUACUCAAAGCAGGACUGGCAAAAGCCAAGAACAUUUUGAUCCUUUAUUAAAAUAUUCUCCAUACAAAGUCUAAAACGUUUACGCACAUUCCGUUACCUUACUUGCUGUUCACUAGUCCUGGAAACCUGAACAUUGUGCUCCCAGCUUUCCCUCUUUUCCCCUAGGUGCUUAGGGACCAUUAGGGACAUGGUAGCUAAGCAAUCACGUUGGUCAUUAUCACUGGACUUCAGCUUCUGAUUGCAUAUUCAACCGUGAUUUCCUUGAAGCAUAGGCUUUGCAGAAUGGAGAUGGUUCUGAUUUUCAAACUUACCUUGAGCGUAUUCCUUCAAUCUUUACUCAGCAUUUACAAUUGCAGUUUUCCUUCCAAGGCAGAUAAACCAGACCCUUCAAUUAGUGGAUUAGGCUUGUGACUAGUUGCAUUGGGAUAGCACUGAAAAAGCUGCAGUGUUUCUGCUGAAAUACUCUUUCCUCAUUUCUUCAUGAAGCCAUCCCCAGCGAGCCUGUAGGUAAGUCUGUAUUCCUAAAGCAAUGCUACAGAAGGCAUUCUCCUUUUCAGUGGAGAAGAAAUAUGCCAUUAAUCACACAAGACUGUGCUACAUUAGAGCCAUAGAUUUUUUUCCAGAGAUAAAAAUGUAGUCUCUGCUUUCAGAGUAAAGAACUAAAUAAACUAACUUGCAAACCACAAGACAACCUUCCUUUGCUUGUUUCCCUGGAGUACUUUUUAUUCCAGGUCCAUCUAUUGUCUUGUUCCGCAGAGGAUCCAUAUAGUAAUUUGUCUUAAAAAUUCAAAUGAUUGAUGACAUUGUAUCUGCUCUUAGCGUAGAAGAUCUCAUGUGCCAGCCCAGUGGAUUUUUCAUGGCAUACACAA
RNA transcript from Alligator sinensis (Chinese alligator), 6671 nucleotides. It is a transcript of the gene named interleukin 12 receptor subunit beta 2, with no coding region annotated. The transcript has 17 exons. The record is from RefSeq and is a predicted model, not a curated record. NCBI's taxonomy places the organism in Eukaryota, Metazoa, Chordata, Crocodylia, Alligatoridae.